This 161-nucleotide unclassified non-coding RNA is filed under the name soil metagenome. RNAcentral describes it as "partial internal transcribed spacer 1". The record is from RNAcentral.
AAGAGACGUUGCCCUUCGGGGUAUACCUCCCACCCUAUGUUUAUUAUACCUUUGUUGCUUUGGCGGGCCCGUCCUCGGACCACCGGCCUCUGCUGGUCAGUGCCCGCCAGAGGACCUAAAACUCUGUUUGUUAAUAUUGUCUGAGUACUAUAUAAUAGUUA